GGCGGCGUGCUUAACACAUGCAAGUCGAACGAAGCACUUAAACCUGAUUCUUCGGAUGGAGGUUUUUGUGACUGAGUGGCGGACGGGUGAGUAACGCGUGGGUAACCUGCCUCAUACAGGGGGAUAACAGUUAGAAAUGACUGCUAAUACCGCAUAAGACCACAGAGCCGCAUGGCUCAGUGGGAAAAACUCCGGUGGUAUGAGAUGGACCCGCGUCUGAUUAGGUAGUUGGUGGGGUAACGGCCUACCAAGCCAACGAUCAGUAGCCGACCUGAGAGGGUGACCGGCCACAUUGGGACUGAGACACGGCCCAAACUCCUACGGGAGGCAGCAGUGGGGAAUAUUGCACAAUGGGGGAAACCCUGAUGCAGCGACGCCGCGUGAGCGAAGAAGUAUUUCGGUAUGUAAAGCUCUAUCAGCAGGGAAGAAAAUGACGGUACCUGACUAAGAAGCACCGGCUAAAUACGUGCCAGCAGCCGCGGUAAUACGUAUGGUGCAAGCGUUAUCCGGAUUUACUGGGUGUAAAGGGAGCGUAGACGGCUGUGUAAGUCUGAAGUGAAAGCCCGGGGCUCAACCCCGGGACUGCUUUGGAAACUAUGCAGCUAGAGUGUCGGAGAGGUAAGUGGAAUUCCCAGUGUAGCGGUGAAAUGCGUUGAUAUUGGGAGGAACACCAGUGGCGAAGGCGGCUUACUGGACGAUGACUGACGUUGAGGCUCGAAAGCGUGGGGAGCAAACA
RNAcentral lists this ribosomal RNA (736 nucleotides) under uncultured bacterium. RNAcentral describes it as "bacterial SSU rRNA". It matches the Rfam family "Bacterial small subunit ribosomal RNA", at positions 38 to 774 of the family's 1533-position model. The record is from RNAcentral.